UGAGGAAUAUUGCGCAAUGGGGGAAACCCUGACGCAGCGACGCCGCGUGAGUGAUGAAGGCCUUCGGGUUGUAAAGCUCUGUCAGAGGGAAAGAAAGGGGUGUCGGAAUAAUACCCGACACCAUUGACGGUACCCUCGGAGGAAGCACCGGCUAACUCCGUGCCAGCAGCCGCGGUAAUACGGAGGGUGCAAGUGUUAUUCGGAAUCACUGGGCGUAAAGAGCACGUAGGCGGAUAGGUAAGUCAGAUGUGAAAUCCCGGGGCUUAGCUUCGGAACUGCAUUUGAUACUGCCUUUCUUGAGUAUGGUAGAGGGGGAUGGAAUUCCCGGUGUAGAGGUGAAAUUCGUAGAUAUUAGGAGGAACACCAGUGGCGAAGGCGGCUUUCUGGACUGUAACUGACACUGAGGCACGAAAGCGUGGGGAGCAAACA
RNAcentral lists this ribosomal RNA (429 nucleotides) under uncultured prokaryote. RNAcentral describes it as "bacterial SSU rRNA". It matches the Rfam family "Bacterial small subunit ribosomal RNA", at positions 355 to 774 of the family's 1533-position model. The record is from RNAcentral.